This is a long non-coding RNA of Aethalodelphis obliquidens (Pacific white-sided dolphin), 2707 nucleotides long. RefSeq lists it as uncharacterized. The transcript has 4 exons. NCBI's taxonomy places the organism in Eukaryota, Metazoa, Chordata, Mammalia, Artiodactyla, Delphinidae. The record is from RefSeq and is a predicted model, not a curated record.
GAGUUUCCUUGUGUGCGUCUCAGAGUUGGAGGAGUUCUAGCCUCUACAGGAUCUUCACACAUCGAAUCUAAACAGAAACCAACUUUAAACUGGUCAUCACACAUGAGCAUCCUUGCCUCGGAGCAGACAGUGAUAAAAUUUGAUGGAGAACACCUGCUUUUUUCUUGGUCAUCUGCUAGAGAAAAAUCUGUUUCUCUUGCCCUUGGGUUUGCGGCUCAUCAGAAGUAGCCUGUCCAAAUUGUGUGUUGGAUCUUCCUUCUUUGCCUUUGGACGAAAACCUCUGGUAGACUCAUCCUCAGGGUAUCUAUGGAUUCUUCGAAGACUAACUACCGCGGACGCUGUGCGCUGACCUGAGCGACGCCCGACGUGUGCCUGCGCAGGACGUCCAUCUACUUCCGCUUCUGGUGCUGAGCUCUGCAUGACCUUUUACUCCCGUGGGCCCUCAGCCCUUGUAGGAAACCACAUGAUGAGAUCCUCUCCAGGUGGCGCCUGCCUCCCUGCCCUCUGUAGAGUCCACCCUGAUCCAGUAUUUUCUCUGUGUUCAGCCAUGCGGAUUCCUUCCAUCCAACCUCUUGCCUUCAAAGUUUUUCAGGCGAGAGCCAGCCUCUUUGUUUUCCAAAUUCCUCACAUGUCAAGAUCAAAGUUUUCUCACUGGACCUGAGGUUGGUUAACAAAGCGUAGUGGAGGGGAAGAAAAGCGUGGGGUUUACUGACAGUUGUUCUAAAACAUUAUUUAUCCAUCUUCCUAAUGCACUCUUAGCUUUUGUUCUAUAAUGGAAGGUAGGCGAUAGGCUAAGCGGGCCCGAACCUGGUUUUGGCAGCCUCCUUUGCAGGUCACGUGUAAACGACCGGGCGUCUCUCUCUAGGAGGCAGGGGCAUUUGUCACAUAACUUCUCAGCUUUGAAAUCCCAGCCAAAACUGAAACAAUGGAACAAAUCCCAUUUAGACUUCACACAUAUAAAAAAAAAUCUUCAAAAUUUUCUAAACGUUGUAGACCAUGGGGCGGAAAAGACCCCGUGGAUUAUGUAAGAGCAUGUUCUGCAUUAAGAUAGUUGUUGUAGUGUUAAUUAUAAAACUGUAAAAUUCCAAAAUGGUAAUUUGGAGGUAAUCCAGAGUCCUGUGAUAGGAGGAUGGCUCAGGAAGUGAGGACAUAUCUCUAUUAAGGGAGACCAUGCUACUAAAAUAACAGUAACAGACUACGCCGUCAUGUGGGAAAAUACAGUUCAACAUUAAGUGGGAAAAGCAAGAUACAAAACUGUCUUCACGCUACGUUUACAACUCUGUAAGAUACUUAUUAAGAAGCUUGGGCUAGGUAGUCAAACAGUUAGUUUUCUACUCACUCCUCUGUGACUUGGUAGUUUGAUAGCCUUGGGGCAGUUAUUUAAAACCUCCAGCUCUUCUCUCUAAAAGAAGGAUCAUGCUUGCUAUUGUUGUCAUGAGACUUACGUGAGCUGAGGCAGAGAAAGUCUUACUGGGAACUUAGUAAUUACUCAAAAAGCUUGGGAAAGACAUACAAAAAUGAAAAAUAGGAAUGAGGUUAAAAUAGUAAUAUUUCUUUUACCUUGUUUAUAAUCUUCCCCUAACAAUGUUAUAUUACUUCCAUAAUUAAAAACAGACUCGAAGAAACCGAGUUAUCAGCAGGCCAAUAUCCUGGUGAUGCCACAGCCCACAGAGUCGGAGGAUGACUCCUAAACGGGAGGCUGUACCGAGCUGAGGCUUCCUCACAUUUCAUGCACAAAUCUGCUUCCCAGCAGAUCGUGCGAAACAGUCUAAAAAAACACAUCCCAAUUAUUGGUGUUCUCCAGCCAUCUUUGCAUCCCCUGGGUAUCACUCCCUUAGACUUCAGAUGUAUGCUACAGUGGCUCACCUUGCUUCUUCCCAGUCCAUUUAUGUCACAUGAUACAACCCAAAUAAAAUAUUUCAGAAAUAAACCAAGGCUAAUAUCUUCUGAUGCAAGAGGGAAAAUUACAGUCUCCUAGAGUAGGUUUAAUUCAAACAAGAGAAUAUAUCUUGGCAAACCUUCCAAUGACUUUUAUUACAGUUUACUGUAUGCCCUCAUUAUCAGAACUAUAAUAUGCAUAUACCUUGGGUAUUAAAGUAAACCACUUUUGAAGGUUUGCAAAUAAACUCCCUUCCUAAUGCAUUAUCACUCUUUCAUUUACUGCUAUUUGCACUUGUAAAAACAUUACAUGCAUUAUUUCAAACUAAGAAGAGAGCCAACCAUAGCGUUUAAAAAGGAUGAAAAGGUUGAAAAUUUUAAAGGUCUUUGUUGAAUGGAUUUAUGACUAGGACCUUGACCGUUUCCCAGAAACAUGUGAUUAACCUAAACUAAUCUCUCAAGUCUAAGUAAAAUUAACUUUUGCAUAUUUACUUUUUACGUGGCUUUAUGCUGUCACUUCUAGUGAGAACUAGUCAACUUGCUCAAUCAAUAAUAAAAAAAUCUAUAUUCUCAUACUUGAAGGGAAAUUUAAAUAAUUACAACUGCAUGUCCCGUUUCAUGGUUAUACCGGGAUAAAUGAUUAAAAACAACCCCCCAAAUAGAAACAUAUCCAACAGAACAUUUAAGAAUUAUCUUCCUUUGACCUUUUAUUAUUUAAAGAAAAGAUGGUAAAGUUUGGCUGGGACCUUGCAGUCAAUUAUUUUUAGAAGGAACUGGGGGACUUCCCUGGUGGCGCAGUGGUUAAGAAUCUGCUCGUCAAUGCAGGGGA